AAUAUUGGACAAUGGGGGCAACCCUGAUCCAGCGACGCCGCGUGUGUGAAGAAGGCCUGCGGGUUGUAAAGCACUUUUAGUGGGGAUGAAAAGCUCAGGGCUAAUACCUCUGGGUCUUGACCUAACCCACAGAAAAAGCACCGGCUAACUCUUUGCCAGCAGCCGCGGUAAUACAGAGGGUGCGAGCGUUAAUCGGAAUUACUGGGCGUAAGGCGUGCGUAGACGGUCAUGUAAGUCGGGUGUGAAAGCCCCGGGCUCAACCUGGGAAUUGCAUUCGAGACUGCAUGGCUAGGGUACGGAAGAGGGAAGCGGAAUUUCCGGUGUAGCGGUGAAAUGCGUAGAUAUCGGAAGGAACACCAGUGGCGAAAGCGGCUUCCUGGUCCAGUACCGACGUUCAGGCACGAAAGCGUGGGGAGCAAACAGG
This 424-nucleotide ribosomal RNA is filed under the name uncultured bacterium. RNAcentral describes it as "partial 16S ribosomal RNA". It matches the Rfam family "Bacterial small subunit ribosomal RNA", at positions 360 to 776 of the family's 1533-position model. The record is from RNAcentral.